AACGAACGCUGGCGGCAGGCUUAACACAUGCAAGUCGAGCGCCCCGCAAGGGGAGCGGCAGACGGGUGAGUAACGCGUGGGAACGUACCUUUUGGUUCGGAACAACUCCGGGAAACUGGAGCUAAUACCGGAUAAGCCCUAACGGGGAAAGAUUUAUCGCCGAAAGAUCGGCCCGCGUCUGAUUAGCUAGUUGGUGAGGUAACGGCUCACCAAGGCGACGAUCAGUAGCUGGUCUGAGAGGAUGAUCAGCCACACUGGGACUGAGACACGGCCCAGACUCCUACGGGAGGCAGCAGUGGGGAAUAUUGGACAAUGGGCGCGAGCCUGAUCCAGCCAUGCCGCGUGAGUGAUGAAGGCCUUAGGGUUGUAAAGCUCUUUUGUCCGGGAAGAUAAUGACGGUACCGGAAGAAUAAGCCCCGGCUAACUUCGUG
RNAcentral lists this ribosomal RNA (431 nucleotides) under uncultured bacterium. RNAcentral describes it as "partial 16S ribosomal RNA". It matches the Rfam family "Bacterial small subunit ribosomal RNA", at positions 29 to 507 of the family's 1533-position model. The record is from RNAcentral.